Manis pentadactyla (Chinese pangolin) is the source of this 626-nucleotide long non-coding RNA. RefSeq lists it as uncharacterized. Lineage: Eukaryota; Metazoa; Chordata; Mammalia; Pholidota; Manidae. The record is from RefSeq and is a predicted model, not a curated record. The transcript is spliced from 4 exons.
GGCUCAUCAAGCUCUUUCUCCAGCUCCUCUAGCACAGACACGGCUUCCUCUCCAUUCUCUGGUUGGUGAUCUCGCACCCAGGCCUGCAGCUCCUCUGGAGAGUGCCGCGGGAACGCACGUUGCAGCAGGAGCCGAAUCCAUGCCGUCUCCAGCAAUGGCUCUCAGACCAGCACAAGAAACGGGGUCACCAAACCCCCAACGCCACAAGAGGGCCUGUAACAAACCGGGUCCCUGCAGGAGAGGCUUCGCUCAGAGUCCUGAAUCCUGAGUCUUUCCAGAGAGGUCUGGCGCCCAGUUCAAAAUCCCUCUUUUAGCGGGCCGGCUCGGGGAAGGUCGGUGUGCGACGCCCCCAGCCACCUCUCUCACCUGGCCCCCGCCACCCCACCCCACGCAGCGCCCCUCUCCCGCGGGGACCAAACUCUGCGAGACUGCAAGACGCACGUGGCGAUGAGGAAGCACUUGCAAUAUGCCAUUCUGCUGCUUGCUGGACUCCAUUGUUUCUGAUUGGAUUUCAUUCUACUGAUCCAUCUUCAAAUUCAUUGAUUCCUUCUGACUUCUCAAAUGUACUACUGAACCCAUAAAAUAAAGUUUUCAUUUUGUUAUUGCAUUUUUCAACUGCAGAAUUU